AUUGGUAAAAUAUUGUUUUAUUGUCAUCUUCAAAGAUAUUGUAACAUUUCACAAAUUUAUAAACUUUUUUAAAAAUUAAACUUUUAGCUUUAUAGAUUUAUAUUAUCGAGUAAAUAAUUAAACAUUUAGUUUUUGUUAAUUUUUAAAAUAAACUAUAUUGUUUUAAAUUUGUUUUCAUUAGUUUAAGGUAGUAUAGAUUAAUUAUUGUUAGAUAAUGAUGAUUUUUGUUAUUUAAAAAAAAUCUUUAUAAUUUUAAAAGUUAACAUCGAGAAAUAUUUAAAUAAUUAACAUAUGAAGGUAUACUAUUACAACAUUAAAUUAUAUCUAUUUAAUUUAUACAAUCUAUAAAUCCAAUGGAUCAUCUAUUAUUUAAAUCCAAUUAUGAUAGCCUAAUAAAAAUUUCUGGUAAGUCCAAAAUUAACAUAAAAACUUAUAAAAAUAACUCCAAUCCAUAAGUAAGCAAAAAAAAAAAAAACAGCUUGACGAAAUUCAGGUACCAUAAUAACCAAUUCUCCUCUCCUCCAGAAGUGAAUAUCGGUUGGAGUUUCUGGAAAAUGAAAAUACUUCUGACGUUUUAGAACUUUUCAAAAAACAAUCAUAGCAUUUAGUAAUAUACGUUAAGGUAUUUAUUUAAAUUACAUACCUCCUCAUGCCUCAUUCGCUUAUAGUUGAUUCUGUUUCGAAAAAUAUAGGAAACAUUUGAGAAGGUCAAAGCUUACAAUCAUAUAAUCUUUGUUUGUGUCGCUUACAAUCAUAAAC
RNAcentral lists this long non-coding RNA (759 nucleotides) under Brassica rapa (field mustard). Its description in RNAcentral is "long non-coding RNA (BRAP_LNC004218)". Lineage: Eukaryota; Viridiplantae; Streptophyta; Magnoliopsida; Brassicales; Brassicaceae. The record is from RNAcentral.